This 31-nucleotide non-coding RNA is filed under the name Rattus norvegicus (Norway rat). The record is from RNAcentral. Lineage: Eukaryota; Metazoa; Chordata; Mammalia; Rodentia; Muridae.
UGUUAGGUAAUCAAAUUGCCAUUGUACAUAC